This 255-nucleotide ribosomal RNA is filed under the name uncultured bacterium. RNAcentral describes it as "partial 16S ribosomal RNA". It matches the Rfam family "Bacterial small subunit ribosomal RNA", at positions 524 to 776 of the family's 1533-position model. The record is from RNAcentral.
UACGUAGGGUGCAAGCGUUAAUCGGAAUUACUGGGCGUAAAGCGUGCGCAGGCGGUGAUGUAAGACAGGUGUGAAAUCCCCGGGCUUAACCUGGGAACUGCAUUUGUGACUGCAUCGCUGGAGUGCGGCAGAGGGGGAUGGAAUUCCGCGUGUAGCAGUGAAAUGCGUAGAUAUGCGGAAGAACACCGGUGGCGAAGGCGGUGAGCUGGGGCAGUUGGCUGACACUGAGGCGCGACAGCGUGGGGAGCAAACAGG